GGGGGAAAAUUUAAUAAUCAGAAACUAAUAAAAAAAAAUUUAUCAUUAAAAAUAUAUAAUGGGGGUUAAAGUAUUUUUAAUAGAAAAAAUUUAUAAAUUUAUAGUUAAAUAGUAUUGUAAAAGAAAAUUUAAAUAGUUAAAAUAUAAUUUAAGAAAAAGUAAAUUUUAUUUGUUGUAUCUUGUGUAUCAGAGUUUAUUAAAUAAAAAUUUUUAAAUAAAAAAUUCUCGAAUUUAAAAGAGUUAAUUAAUUAUGAAAGUUAAUGUUGAAUAAUUAUUUUUAAUAAUUAAUUAGAAAUGAAAUGUUAAUCGUUUUUAAAUAUAUCUAGUUUUUUUAGAAAAAAAUUUAAUUUUAAAUGAAAAUAAUUUUAUAAUUAAUUAAUUAAUUAUGAAAAUUUAAAAUUUAGUAUUUUAGGGGAUAAGCUUUAAUUUAAAUUAUUAUAAUUAAUUUUUUUAAAAAUUAAAAUUUUUAAUAUUUAUAUUGUUUAUAAAUUAUAAUUUAUUAUAAAAAAUUUUAAUUAGAUUAAAAUUUAAAUUUAUAAAUUUAAAUUUUUAUAAAAAAAUUAUUUUUAAUAGUGAAAAAUAAGAAAUAAUGAUAAAAUUAGUAUAAUUUUUUUUUUAAAAAAAGUAAAAUUAUUGAGAAUUAAAUUAAAGGAAUUCGGCAAAAAUUUAUAUUCACUUGUUUAUCAAAAACAUGUCUUUUUGAUUAAUAAUUUAAAGUCUAAUCUGCCCACUGAUAUUUAUAUAUUAAAGGGCUGCAGUAUAUUGACUGUACAAAGGUAGCAUAAUCAUUAGUCUUUUAAUUGAAGACUUGUAUGAAAGAUUUGAUGAAAUAUAAACUGUCUCUACAUUAUUUAUAGAAAUUAAUAUUUUAGUUAAAAAGCUAAAAUUAAAUUAAAAGACGAGAAGACCCUAUAGAGUUUUAUAAUUGGGUUUAAUAUAAUAAAAUAUAUAAUUAAUUAUUGUAAUAAAAUUAAUUAUUUCAUUGGGGUGAUGAAAAAAUUUAAUAAACUUUUUUUUUUAUUUAACAUAUAUAAGUGAAUAAAUGAUCCAUAAUUUAUGAUUAUAAGAAAAAAUUACCUUAGGGAUAACAGCGUAAUAUUUUUUUUUAGUUCAAAUAAAAAAAAAAGUUUGCGACCUCGAUGUUGGAUUAAGAUAAAAUUUAAAUGCAAAAGUUUAAAGUUUUGAUCUGUUCGAUCAUUAAAAUCUUACAUGAUCUGAGUUCAAACCGGUGUAAGCCAGGUUGGUUUCUAUCUUUAAUAAAAUACAAUAUUUUAGUACGAAAGGAUCAAAUAUAGGAAAUAAUUUUAAUUGUUAUGAAUAUUAUUAAUAUGUUUUA
RNAcentral lists this ribosomal RNA (1336 nucleotides) under Euripus nyctelius (courtesan). RNAcentral describes it as "16S ribosomal RNA". The stretch from base 1084 to 1242 matches the Rfam family "Eukaryotic large subunit ribosomal RNA", at positions 2825 to 2984 of the family's 3401-position model. The record is from RNAcentral. Lineage: Eukaryota; Metazoa; Arthropoda; Insecta; Lepidoptera; Nymphalidae.